UCUUUAUAGCGCAAUGGGCAACGCGUUGGACUUCUAAUCCAAAGGUCGUGGGCUCAAUUCCCAACUGGGAGAA
Non-coding RNA from Trichonephila inaurata madagascariensis, 73 nucleotides. The record is from the annotation of a GenBank genome assembly. Lineage: Eukaryota; Metazoa; Arthropoda; Arachnida; Araneae; Nephilidae.